AUARAGAAUAGUUAGUGGCAGACGGGUGAGUAAUGCAUAGGAAUCUACCUAGUAGUAUGGGAUAGCCACUAGAAAUGGUGGGUAAUACUGUAUAAUCCCUGCGGGGGAAAGAUUUAUCGCUAUUAGAUGAGCCUAUGUUAGAUUAGCUAGUUGGUAGGGUAAAGGCCUACCAAGGCGAUGAUCUAUAGCUGGUCUGAGAGGAUGAUCAGCCACACUGGAACUGAGAUACGGUCCAGACUCCUACGGGAGGCAGCAGUGGGGAAUAUUGGACAAUGGGCGCAAGCCUGAUCCAGCUAUGCCGCGUGAGUGAGGAAGGCCUUAGGGUUGUAAAACUCUUUCAGUAGGGAAGAUAAUGACGGUACCUACAGAAGAAGUCCCGGCAAACUCCGUGCCAGCAGCCGCGGUAAUACGGAGGGGGCAAGCGUUGUUCGGAAUUAUUGGGCGUAAAGGGCAUGUAGGCGGUUCGGUAAGUUAAAGGUGAAAUGCCAGGGCUUAAC
Molecule: ribosomal RNA, 497 nt
Filed under: Anaplasma phagocytophilum
Lineage: Bacteria; Pseudomonadati; Pseudomonadota; Alphaproteobacteria; Rickettsiales; Anaplasmataceae
Description: bacterial SSU rRNA
Rfam family: Bacterial small subunit ribosomal RNA
Source: RNAcentral